AUCCCAUGAUGAGGAUAGGCAACGACGUAUUCCUGUAGCCUUGCCCAUGCUUCUGGAUCGUCUCAUCUUUUGUCUGUUGGAAGCUGGAUAUUCUUCCACGAAGGGC
This 106-nucleotide small nucleolar RNA is filed under the name Oryza punctata. RNAcentral describes it as "Plant small nucleolar RNA R71". It matches the Rfam family "Plant small nucleolar RNA R71". Rfam says of the family: R71 is a member of the C/D box family of snoRNAs containing the C (UGAUGA) and D (CUGA) box motifs. Multiple nearly identical copies of this snoRNA have been identified in Arabidopsis, and it is thought to function as a 2'-O-ribose methylation guide for 18S ribosomal RNA. Lineage: Eukaryota; Viridiplantae; Streptophyta; Magnoliopsida; Poales; Poaceae. The record is from Rfam by way of RNAcentral.